UUAGAUAAUAGGAAUUUUUUUUCUUAGAAACAGCCGCCGCCGGGCGCUAGAUAGCCACUGGGCCGCAAUCCCGUGUAACCCGGGAUUGAAAUCCCUUAAAGCCGGCCACCCGAGCCCUCCUUUCCCUCCUCCCUCUCCCUGACCUGCGGGCCCCCCUGGCCGAGACAACCCCCCACGUCGGUCAUCACCUUCCUUUCUUCUUCUACCGAAACCA
Molecule: long non-coding RNA, 214 nt
Filed under: Hordeum vulgare
Lineage: Eukaryota; Viridiplantae; Streptophyta; Magnoliopsida; Poales; Poaceae
Description: long non-coding RNA (HVUL_LNC018467)
Source: RNAcentral